UUUGAUCUGGCUCAGAACGAACGCUGGCGGCAGGCUUAACACAUGCAAGUCGAGCGCUCUCUUCGGAGGGAGCGGCGGACGGGUGAGUAACGCGUGGGAACAUACCCGACACUAAGGAAUAGCCUCUGGAAACGGAGAGUAAUACCUUAUACGCCCUACGGGGGAAAGAUUUAUCGGUGACGGAUUGGCCCGCGUUAGAUUAGGUAGUUGGUGGGGUAACGGCCCACCAAGCCGACGAUCUAUAGCUGGUUUGAGAGGAUGAUCAGCCACACUGGGACUGAGACACGGCCCAGACUCCUACGGGAGGCAGCAGUGGGGAAUCUUAGACAAUGGGGGAAACCCUGAUCUAGCCAUGCCGCGUGUGUGAUGAAGGCCCUAGGGUCGUAAAGCACUUUCGCCAGGGAUGAUAAUGACAGUACCUGGUAAAGAAACCCCGGCUAACUCCGUGCCAGCAGCCGCGGUAAUACGGAGGGGGUUAGCGUUGUUCGGAAUUACUGGGCGUAAAGCGCGCGUAGGCGGAUUAGUCAGUCAGAGGUGAAAUCCCAGGGCUCAACCCUGGAACUGCCUUUGAUACUGCUAGUCUUGAGUUCGAGAGAGGUGAGUGGAAUUCCGAGUGUAGAGGUGAAAUUCGUAGAUAUUCGGAGGAACACCAGUGGCGAAGGCGGCUCACUGGCUCGAUACUGACGCUGAGGUGCGAAAGUGUGGGGAGCAAACAGGAUUAGAUACCCUGGUAGUCCACACCGUAAACGAUGAAUGCCAGUCGUCGGCAAGCAUGCUUGUCGGUGACACACCUAACGGAUUAAGCAUUCCGCCUGGGGAGUACGGUCGCAAGAUUAAAACUCAAAUGAAUUGACGG
Molecule: ribosomal RNA, 856 nt
Filed under: uncultured bacterium
Lineage: Bacteria
Description: bacterial SSU rRNA
Rfam family: Bacterial small subunit ribosomal RNA
Source: RNAcentral